Molecule: non-coding RNA, 201 nt
Filed under: Gammaproteobacteria bacterium
Lineage: Bacteria; Pseudomonadati; Pseudomonadota; Gammaproteobacteria
Description: 6S RNA
Rfam family: 6S / SsrS RNA
About the family: E. coli 6S RNA was the first non coding RNA to be sequenced, but its function was unknown until recently.
Source: RNAcentral
CGGAUUCUGCGGUGUUCGUUAGUGACCCUUAUACCCCUUGAGCCUUAGAUCCUUAGCUCGGGGCAGAGGUCUCGGGCGCCAUGUGCAUGACCGCGCCGGGCAUUGCCCUCCAAGCGGUAAGCCUACGGCUCCGUUCCGAAACCCCACUUGAACCGUCCGGUUCAAGGGCUGAGGUAGCACGACGGCACACGCGGAUUCCGC